This 497-nucleotide ribosomal RNA is filed under the name uncultured bacterium. RNAcentral's name for it is "partial 16S ribosomal RNA". It matches the Rfam family "Bacterial small subunit ribosomal RNA", at positions 28 to 507 of the family's 1533-position model. The record is from RNAcentral.
GAUGAACGCUGGCGGCGUGCCUAAUACAUGCAAGUCGAGCGAACGGACGAGAAGCUUGCUUCUCUGAUGUUAGCGGCGGACGGGUGAGUAACACGUGGAUAACCUACCUAUAAGACUGGGAUAACUUCGGGAAACCGGAGCUAAUACCGGAUAAUAUUAUGAACCGCAUGGUUCAAAAGUGAAAGACGGUCUUGCUGUCACUUAUAGAUGGAUCCGCGCUGCAUUAGCUAGUUGGUAAGGUAACGGCUUACCAAGGCAACGAUGCAUAGCCGACCUGAGAGGGUGAUCGGCCACACUGGAACUGGGACACGGUCCAGACUCCUACGGGAGGCAGCAGUAGGGAAUCUUCCGCAAUGGGCGAAAGCCUGACGGAGCAACGCCGCGUGAGUGAUGAAGGUCUUCGGAUCGUAAAACUCUGUUAUUAGGGAAGAACAUAUGUGUAAGUAACUGUGCACAUCUUGACGGUACCUAAUCAGAAAGCCACGGCUAACUACGUG